Long non-coding RNA from Pundamilia nyererei, 717 nucleotides. RefSeq lists it as uncharacterized. Lineage: Eukaryota; Metazoa; Chordata; Actinopteri; Cichliformes; Cichlidae. The record is from RefSeq and is a predicted model, not a curated record. The transcript has 3 exons.
UGGAAGAAUUUAGACAGUUAUUAACUCUCAGUGAUGUCCCAGCGUUCCUUAAACCUUGUGACCUGAAGCAGAGUUUGGACCCGGAAACCACUAAUAGAAUCAGACUUAAAGACCGGAUAUGCUCUUAAGUGUCAAAACAGCUGUGGAAGUUUGCACCUGUGAUCAACAGUUCUGUUAAAAUACAUAUUACUUUAAUUUAAAAAAGGAACUUUCUAUUCUGUUCUGCUGUUUCUGUUUUUCAGAAGCGGUGCACUACGCAGUUUACGCUGUUGUCCCUGUGGUUUUACUAAUAUGUGUCCUAGUUAUUAUUUAUAAGUACAAAUGUUACAACGUGAGAGAAACUGAAGCUGUCAUGGACAGAAAUACACCGAAAGCAGAAGACGUGAUAGAUGCAGAAGAAGGCGAAAUUUAUGGAAAUCAAGAAUUUGUGCUGACCUUCAAACAGCAAAGUGCCUUGAACCACUUUGAUGAUCCAGUGGGAGAUGAACCAGAUUACAAAAACUUCACAACUGAAGAACUAUACAGCAAUGAAAAUUACCAUAAAGCUAACAAAAGAUAAAUAUGCACAUGUACUUAAACUGUGGGUCUUAAGUGAAUACAGAUUAUCCUGUUUAAAUCAUCUUUAGCACGAAAUUCACAGCAAUGUACCGCUGUUACUCAACAUUUUCACUGUCUUGUGAUCCAGACUUCUUUAUUAUUGUUUACACAAAAAAUACU